This 434-nucleotide ribosomal RNA is filed under the name uncultured Porphyrobacter sp. RNAcentral describes it as "bacterial SSU rRNA". It matches the Rfam family "Bacterial small subunit ribosomal RNA", at positions 950 to 1382 of the family's 1533-position model. Lineage: Bacteria; Pseudomonadati; Pseudomonadota; Alphaproteobacteria; Sphingomonadales; Erythrobacteraceae. The record is from RNAcentral.
UUCGAAGCAACGCGCAGAACCUUACCAGCCUUUGACAUCCUAGGACGACUUCUGGAGACAGACCUUUCUUCCCGUUCGGGACCUAGUGACAGGUGCUGCAUGGCUGUCGUCAGCUCGUGUCGUGAGAUGUUGGGUUAAGUCCCGCAACGAGCGCAACCCUCGUCCUUAGUUGCCAUCAUUAAGUUGGGCACUUUAAGGAAACUGCCGGUGAUAAGCCGGAGGAAGGUGGGGAUGACGUCAAGUCCUCAUGGCCCUUACAGGCUGGGCUACACACGUGCUACAAUGGCAUCUACAGUGGGCAGCUAUUCCGCAAGGAUGCGCUAAUCUCCAAAAGAUGUCUCAGUUCGGAUUGUCCUCUGCAACUCGAGGGCAUGAAGGCGGAAUCGCUAGUAAUCGCGGAUCAGCAUGCCGCGGUGAAUACGUUCCCAGGCCUU